ACGCUCGACACCUACGGGGGGCAGCAGUAGGGAAUCUUCCACAAUGGGCGGCAAGCCUGAUGGAGCAACACCGCGUGAGUGAAGAAGGGUUUCGGCUCGUAAAGCUCUGUUGUUGGAGAAGAACGUGCGUGAGAGUAACUGUUCACGCAGUGACGGUAUCCAACCAGAAAGUCACGGCUAACUACGUGCCAGUAGCCGCGGUAAUCUGAGCGGGCUGGCAAGGC
Molecule: ribosomal RNA, 224 nt
Filed under: uncultured bacterium
Lineage: Bacteria
Description: partial 16S ribosomal RNA
Rfam family: Bacterial small subunit ribosomal RNA
Source: RNAcentral